UAAGCCAGCACAACUGCCCUCUAUGCCUAUCCGGGUCUCCGCCCCGAGUCCCUCAACUGUCUCAGGAAUGUCUCUGUGAAAGUGAAGGUGUGUCGGUGGGUCAGGACAAGGCUCCACACUUGUAGUAUCGACGGAUAUGUGAACAGUACAUGGAUGAUGGUCUCCUUCUCCUCCGGGCACCUUUCACAAUCAGUGAGAAUCCGAACCUCUCUUAUGGCCAGGAUCUAUGUAGUUGGUAGGAUGCCCCAAACCACUCUCUAUAAAAAAGGGCCUGGGUGAAUCCGUGGCCGCCGGAUCCAAGGCCCCUCCACGCGGCGAGCAGGCCCCGCUUGAGCCUGAAGCUCACUAGCUGUGAGCUUCAAAUCCUCCUGUCUGCCGUCCCCAGGUCUUUGAAGCAUUUUUAUUAACAGUCUCUCGACGCCUCGACCUCGCCUUCCGCCCUCGCCGUCCACCCGUCCUCCCGUAACCCGGCGGCGGAGGCAGCGUCGCCACCAUUCCCCCCAAAUCCGUGGCUCUCAAGUCCGCGGAGAGGGCGACGAGGCCAAGAAGGCGCUGCCGCCGGACGGCCUCCCUUCCGCCCCAGCAGCCUCUCUGGAGAUCUUCUCGCGCCCCCCUCUCGUCUCCUUCUCCCAUUGCACGCCGGAGCCUCCUAGAUUACUGCAGGUUGCAAUCUGGCAGCAUGAUAGGAGCUAUCUGUGCAGGUACCUUUGCAUCUGAAGUCACAAAACAACUGAGGGAGCUUUAUAGGGCUGAUGAAUAGGGUGCUAGUGUCACAUUUUAACAGGAGUGGAAGAUGACUGUAUGGUUGAAGGCGGUAGGAGCACAGGUCCAUGAUCAUCUAGUGAACUAAAGCUUAAAUGUUCAUAAGGUUAUCUUGUCAUAUUUUGUUGUGUGAUCAAUGGUUUGCUUGUUAGAGGCGCAUUCACAAUCUCAAGGAAGCCUGCACGAUUUAGAUUCAGACUAACCUUGUUUUUCAGCAAUUGGAUCUCUUGGAACAUGAUCUGCAUCUGUGAAUUUAGAGAUCAGUUAAGAGAGAGAGAGAGAGAGAGACCAAACACUCAGAAAAGGUUAAGCAGGUGUUGAAUUGUGCAUAAGAGAUCAAAGAAAUGACGCUGUUCAAGUAUUGGAAGCAGAUCGAUCUCUUGCUUCAACAUGGAUAUCUCCAGCUUCUCCAGCUCCGAGACCUGUCCAUAUGGAGAAAAAAUAUAGCUCACUGAGAAUAUAUCAACAGAAGGGGCAUUCCAUGGUAGACUUAUUGAAGAAAUUCAUGUGGCCAUGAUGGAUGUACAAGCCUAUAAAUUAAGUUUGGAUAUGAUUUCAGAAAAUGGGGUAGGCAAUCUUCUCGUAGAGUCAUACUACAGGCCCAGAAAUCAGAUGUUUAAUGCUGAGACAGAUUUCCAACAGUUUUGAUCUGGCUCUAUGUACCUGCUUUUUUUCUCUCAAAGAGAAUAUUUUGAAUGUGCGACUUGUUUGGCUGAGAGGAGAUCACAAGGCUCCAAGAACAAUACAAAGACAAGUGUUAAGAGAUGGCAAAAAGGGGGCAUUGGGAAUGCUCCCCUUGGGCAUGGGAACCAAAUGCCUUCGUAGUGCCUAUGAGAUUCUCUAAACAUGCGCAUCCUUCGAUAAAGAAGCAUAGCACUUAUAUCUGUGCUUUGGCUUGGAAAGGGUUCAUGUCUUUUUUCCAAAGGGUGGUGGUUCCAAGUUCCAACAUCUACACAAACUUCCAAAGUCCCAAUCAGCAAGGAGAUUUCUUUACCACAAAGCAGCAGCUCUGGAGUGGAGACCACAUGGUCCAGGAGGAGGAAGGAGCUUGGCUGGUAAAGUUAAAGAUAGCUAAAAGGUAAAGCUAAUGGUGCAAGGCCAAAAGAUGGAGAUGCAAAAUAAUGGUUUGUUUUGGUGGAUGAACUCAAAUAAUGAUUGAGGAUAUGUUAUUUUAAUUAUGUCAGCCGACCAUGGAUGCGGACAGCAAAACCUUGAUUCACCAAUAAUAGUUGUUUAGCGGUGUGCUUUGUAUGCAAAUGUGGGAUAAAAAUAGUUGGAAAAGUCUUGGAAAAACUUGCGAAAACACUGGAAUUGAACCUUGAUGGUUAAACCAUAUUGAUUAUGAAGUGCCAUGAAUAGGAACA
Non-coding RNA from Phoenix dactylifera (date palm), 2126 nucleotides. The record is from RefSeq and is a predicted model, not a curated record. Lineage: Eukaryota; Viridiplantae; Streptophyta; Magnoliopsida; Arecales; Arecaceae.